AGUGAACGCUGGCGGCGUGCUUAACACAUGCAAGUCGAACGAGAACGGACUUAAGCUUGCUUAAGUUGUCAGCUAAGUGGCGCACGGGUGAGUAAUGUAUAGUUAACCUGCCCUCUAGAGAGGAAUAACAGUUGGAAACGACUGCUAAUGCCUUAUAUGCCUUUAAGACAGAAGUCUGCAAGGGAAAUGCUUUAGUGCUAGAGGAUGGGACUGUAUGGUAUCAGUUAAGUUGGUGGGGUAAUAGGCUUUACCAAAGACAAUGACGCCUAACUGGUUUGAGAGGAUGAUCAGUCAC
Molecule: ribosomal RNA, 295 nt
Filed under: uncultured Campylobacterota bacterium
Lineage: Bacteria; Pseudomonadati; Campylobacterota
Description: uncultured Epsilonproteobacteria bacterium partial 16S ribosomal RNA
Rfam family: Bacterial small subunit ribosomal RNA
Source: RNAcentral